Molecule: long non-coding RNA, 1319 nt
Organism: Frankliniella occidentalis (western flower thrips)
Lineage: Eukaryota; Metazoa; Arthropoda; Insecta; Thysanoptera; Thripidae
Exons: 5
Source: RefSeq, a predicted model, not a curated record
CCGGCGCCGCUCCCCGCCCCGCCCCCACGCCGUGGUUUGGCCGUACCCUUUGAGACGUCUCCACCGGUACCCCAAGGGGAGGCCCUGCCGCGCGCAGAGCGAGGGGGUCGCAUCGAGACUUCUCCUUCCGAGCUGCUGAUCCGCGGGCGAAAGUGUUGGGUGCCCCAUCCUGCGGUGGGGGGCUAAGCGGGCCGGAGGGGCACAGCCGGGCGCGGAGAGGCGCGGGCCGCGCAAGGGGACGCCAGGUCGCGGGACUCACCACCACCACCGCCACCGCGGGACCUCCACACGAACACCAAAGUAGUAUUUGUCUAGUUACGACGAGUUAGACCUUUUUACUUAUGUAACUUUUACUUUUGUAGCGGUCGCGGGUCUGACAGCACCAGACCAGGCAGCACGCUGCGCGCGCCGUCGCCGUGCAUGCACAGCCCGAGGAGCGCCAGGACGUCGGCGAGGACACUAUGGAGAGCUGUGCGCCGAGGACAUCGGCCAGAGAAGACUCAUCACCACCACCGUUGGACUGCCCCGACCCGACCAGCGUCGCAAGGACCCUCCGCCGCCAGAACCUGAGCGGGCGCACGCGCAGGGCGCGGUAUUCGGCCGGACAGGCUCACUGCUGGGGUGCCCGGUCCAGGCCCUGGUAAAGAGUGGUUUAUUGGCAACAAGUAUUUCUUUUGGAUGUCGAACUCAGCGGUUUUCCUUACCUGCUUUCGUGAGCUGGCUGUGGGGCCCCCCUCUGCGACGUGACGUUCGUCUUUCCCUUCAGGCGUACAAGGGCCGGCCCUGUGCGAGACGAUCAGUUCGUACCCACCCUCGCUGCCUACGGCUUGCGUCUCGCGCCUUCAGCGCACGCGUGCGGGCCGGCCUGCGCGCAGGGGCGCGGCUGUCCGUGGAGUUGGUGGGGCAGGCGGGGCGUUACCCACGGGCACACAUCAUCGGUAGCAGCGUUGUUAAAAAGGACACCCGGGUGACACGUCCGCCUGAAAUAGAAGUUCGACAAUAACCCUCACCCUUGUCCUUGUGUACUACUUAGUUCGUGCUCUCGGCUCGCUUUGCUAAAAGUCUCUCCAGUUUCAGCUAGGCGCAUAGUGCAGCGGCUUUCGAGCAGACAGCCAGCCGCUUCAGCGUACGACAGACUUCUGCAGGGGACUCCGCUUGACGCAGUACACCCAGCCUGCGGACGGCGCUGCUGUGCCCAUUGCUAUGGACGUCGCGCUGACGUCGGCCGAAGCUGACUCCGUGAGACCGCAGCCCGAGCAGCGCCAGGACGUCGCCGAGGACACGGGCGAGCUGUGCGCCGUGGACGUCAGCCGAAGAAG